This 1552-nucleotide ribosomal RNA is filed under the name Enterobacter cloacae. Its description in RNAcentral is "bacterial SSU rRNA". It matches the Rfam family "Bacterial small subunit ribosomal RNA". RNAcentral also lists the same sequence under 3 other names. Lineage: Bacteria; Pseudomonadati; Pseudomonadota; Gammaproteobacteria; Enterobacterales; Enterobacteriaceae. The record is from RNAcentral.
AAAUUGAAGAGUUUGAUCAUGGCUCAGAUUGAACGCUGGCGGCAGGCCUAACACAUGCAAGUCGAACGGUAACAGGAAGCAGCUUGCUGCUUUGCUGACGAGUGGCGGACGGGUGAGUAAUGUCUGGGAAACUGCCUGAUGGAGGGGGAUAACUACUGGAAACGGUAGCUAAUACCGCAUAACGUCGCAAGACCAAAGAGGGGGACCUUCGGGCCUCUUGCCAUCGGAUGUGCCCAGAUGGGAUUAGCUAGUAGGUGGGGUAACGGCUCACCUAGGCGACGAUCCCUAGCUGGUCUGAGAGGAUGACCAGCCACACUGGAACUGAGACACGGUCCAGACUCCUACGGGAGGCAGCAGUGGGGAAUAUUGCACAAUGGGCGCAAGCCUGAUGCAGCCAUGCCGCGUGUAUGAAGAAGGCCUUCGGGUUGUAAAGUACUUUCAGCGGGGAGGAAGGCGAUAAGGUUAAUAACCUUGUCGAUUGACGUUACCCGCAGAAGAAGCACCGGCUAACUCCGUGCCAGCAGCCGCGGUAAUACGGAGGGUGCAAGCGUUAAUCGGAAUUACUGGGCGUAAAGCGCACGCAGGCGGUCUGUCAAGUCGGAUGUGAAAUCCCCGGGCUCAACCUGGGAACUGCAUUCGAAACUGGCAGGCUAGAGUCUUGUAGAGGGGGGUAGAAUUCCAGGUGUAGCGGUGAAAUGCGUAGAGAUCUGGAGGAAUACCGGUGGCGAAGGCGGCCCCCUGGACAAAGACUGACGCUCAGGUGCGAAAGCGUGGGGAGCAAACAGGAUUAGAUACCCUGGUAGUCCACGCCGUAAACGAUGUCGACUUGGAGGUUGUGCCCUUGAGGCGUGGCUUCCGGAGCUAACGCGUUAAGUCGACCGCCUGGGGAGUACGGCCGCAAGGUUAAAACUCAAAUGAAUUGACGGGGGCCCGCACAAGCGGUGGAGCAUGUGGUUUAAUUCGAUGCAACGCGAAGAACCUUACCUACUCUUGACAUCCAGAGAACUUUCCAGAGAUGGAUUGGUGCCUUCGGGAACUCUGAGACAGGUGCUGCAUGGCUGUCGUCAGCUCGUGUUGUGAAAUGUUGGGUUAAGUCCCGCAACGAGCGCAACCCUUAUCCUUUGUUGCCAGCGGUCCGGCCGGGAACUCAAAGGAGACUGCCAGUGAUAAACUGGAGGAAGGUGGGGAUGACGUCAAGUCAUCAUGGCCCUUACGAGUAGGGCUACACACGUGCUACAAUGGCGCAUACAAAGAGAAGCGACCUCGCGAGAGCAAGCGGACCUCAUAAAGUGCGUCGUAGUCCGGAUUGGAGUCUGCAACUCGACUCCAUGAAGUCGGAAUCGCUAGUAAUCGUGGAUCAGAAUGCCACGGUGAAUACGUUCCCGGGCCUUGUACACACCGCCCGUCACACCAUGGGAGUGGGUUGCAAAAGAAGUAGGUAGCUUAACCUUCGGGAGGGCGCUUACCACUUUGUGAUUCAUGACUGGGGUGAAGUCGUAACAAGGUAACCGUAGGGGAACCUGCGGUUGGAUCACCUCCUUACCUUAAAGAA